AGUGAACGCUGGCGGUAGGCCUAACACAUGCAAGUCGAACGGCAGCACAGAGGAGCUUGCUCCUUGGGUGGCGAGUGGCGGACGGGUGAGGAAUACAUCGGAAUCUACUCUGUCGUGGGGGAUAACGUAGGGAAACUUGCGCUAAUACCGCAUACGACCUACGGGUGAAAGCAGGGGACCUUCGGGCCUUGCGCGAUUGAAUGAGCUGAUGUCGGAUUAGCUAGUUGGCGGGGUAAAGGCCCACCAAGGCGACGAUCCGGAGCUGGUCUGAGAGGGUGAUAAGCCACACUGGAACUGGGACACGGUCCAGACUCCUACGGGAGGAAGAAGUGGGGAAUAUUGGACAAUGGGCGCAAGCCUGAUCCAGCCAUACCGCGUGAGUCAAGAAGGCCUUCGGGUUGUAAAGCCCUUUUGUUGGGAAAGAAAUCCAGCUGGCUAAUACCCGGUUGGGAUGACGGUACCCAAAGAAUAAGCACCGGCUAACUUCGUGCCAGCAGCCGCCGUAA
This 506-nucleotide ribosomal RNA is filed under the name uncultured bacterium. RNAcentral describes it as "partial 16S ribosomal RNA". It matches the Rfam family "Bacterial small subunit ribosomal RNA", at positions 29 to 523 of the family's 1533-position model. The record is from RNAcentral.